UGCUGUAUAGCUUAGUUGGUAGAGUACUUGCCUAGCAUGCAUGAAACCCUGGGUUGGAUUCCUAGUACCGCAU
Molecule: non-coding RNA, 73 nt
Organism: Cricetulus griseus (Chinese hamster)
Lineage: Eukaryota; Metazoa; Chordata; Mammalia; Rodentia; Cricetidae
Source: Rfam